RNAcentral lists this ribosomal RNA (495 nucleotides) under uncultured bacterium. RNAcentral's name for it is "partial 16S ribosomal RNA". It matches the Rfam family "Bacterial small subunit ribosomal RNA", at positions 28 to 507 of the family's 1533-position model. The record is from RNAcentral.
GACGAACGCUGGCGGCGUGCCUAAUACAUGCAAGUAGAACGCUGAAGGAGGAGCUUGCUCUUCUGGAUGAGUUGCGAACGGGUGAGUAACGCGUAGGUAACCUGCCUGGUAGCGGGGGAUAACUAUUGGAAACGAUAGCUAAUACCGCAUAAAAUUGAUUAUUGCAUGAUAGUCAAUUAAAAGGUGCAAUUGCAUCACUACCAGAUGGACCUGCGUUGUAUUAGCUAGUUGGUGAGGUAACGGCUCACCAAGGCAACGAUACAUAGCCGACCUGAGAGGGUGAUCGGCCACACUGGGACUGAGACACGGCCCAGACUCCUACGGGAGGCAGCAGUAGGGAAUCUUCGGCAAUGGACGGAAGUCUGACCGAGCAACGCCGCGUGAGUGAAGAAGGUUUUCGGAUCGUAAAGCUCUGUUGUAAGAGAAGAACGAGUGUGAGAGUGGAAAGUUCACACUGUGACGGUAGCUUACCAGAAAGGGACGGCUAACUACGUG